UACGAAGGGUGCAAACGUUGCUCGGAAUUAUUGGGCGUAAAGCGCACGUAGGCGGCUUUGCAAAGUCCCAUGUGAAAGCCCACGGCUUAACCGUGGAAGUGCAUGGGAAACUGCAGAGCUUGAGUACUUAAGAGGAUCGCGGAAUUCCCGGUGUAGAGGUGAAAUUCGUAGAUAUCGGGAGGAACACCAGUGGCGAAGGCGGCGAUCUGGGAAGAUACUGACGCUGAGGUGCGAAAGCGUGGGGAGCAAACAGG
Molecule: ribosomal RNA, 254 nt
Filed under: uncultured bacterium
Lineage: Bacteria
Description: partial 16S ribosomal RNA
Rfam family: Bacterial small subunit ribosomal RNA
Source: RNAcentral